CUUCUGCCUUAUUUUUUGAUGCGCAAUAUUUGUUCCAUUUCAAGGUCAGCACAAGGUUAGUAGUUUACAAAUGUUCCUGGAUAUCAAGGGAAGAGGAGAAACGUAUUAGGAGAGAGAGAGUGAGUGAGGUAAUGUCAAAAACACAAAUAAGGAGCAAAGGAAGAGAAAGAAAGUAAAGAUAGCGAAAGUCAUCAUUCGAAUGCGGGAAAGGCCAUAGACAUCAACAUCAUCAUCAUCUUGAUUUGUAUGAAGGCGCCAAAAAUGUCACGAGUAUUAUAAAUAGCGAGAAGAAUGCAUUGGUACACCAACACAAGUGUUACAUGUCAAAGCAGGCUGAUAUUGUUGUUGCGUGUGUUAUGAAUGUGACAGUUGAAAUGCAUUAACAGUAAGCUUUGUGACAAAAAAGUGACGAUGAUUAGUGUUACGUAACGUAAUGCUCAGCGUUGUGUGACAAUGCGUUUCAAAGGGAUGUGUAUAACUAAAACCGAAAAUACCGUGGAAUAUUUAAACAAAAAUGGAAAAUUUUGUUGAAGAUCAUUAAAAUAAAGAACUCAGCAAUAAAA
Stomoxys calcitrans (stable fly) is the source of this 563-nucleotide long non-coding RNA. RefSeq lists it as uncharacterized. The transcript is spliced from 2 exons. The record is from RefSeq and is a predicted model, not a curated record. Lineage: Eukaryota; Metazoa; Arthropoda; Insecta; Diptera; Muscidae.